Long non-coding RNA from Macrosteles quadrilineatus (aster leafhopper), 1608 nucleotides. RefSeq lists it as uncharacterized. NCBI's taxonomy places the organism in Eukaryota, Metazoa, Arthropoda, Insecta, Hemiptera, Cicadellidae. The record is from RefSeq and is a predicted model, not a curated record. The transcript is spliced from 6 exons.
GCGGCGAGCAGCACUGGCGCGCGGUCUGGUCAGUCGCGGCGCGCCGGCCCACCUCGCAGCUACAUGACACGCAUGCUGAAACUACCUCCAACAUGCAGGGUAGCUUCACCGUUCGAGCAAAUUCUUCAAAAAAUCAAGAAAGAAACACAAGAGAUCGGCUAGCUUCGCUACCGGAGAGUGAAGACCGGCUUUCCAUCCCACCACAUAACCGUGGAGUCUCGGCUGAAAGAACACUACCUACCGCCUAUCUCGAACAUGAAAAAGAGUAUCUGCUUGGCCACAAGUGACAUUUUUCUCAUCUAUGAAACUAUAGUUCAACUACAAAAUUAAAGAAAUAGUUGACAGUGUUGCCAACUUUUAACCAACCCUGACGUGUAUGAAGGAGGAAUACUAAGAUGAAGCAAAGUAUGCUGUCAUCUCGGAGCAAACUCUACAACAUCAAAGAGGAAUUCAAAGCUCAAACAAAGUAUGUUGUCAUCUUGAAGCAAACUCUUCAACAUCAAGGAGGAAUAAAGAUCAAGAAAAAUGUUGUCAUCUUGAAGCAAACUCUUCAACAUCAAGGAGAAAAUACAAAGAUCAAGCCAAUUAUGUUGUAAUCUUGAAGCAAACUCUUCAACAUCAAGGAGGAAUAAAGAUCAAGAAAAAUGUUGUCAUCUUGAAGCAAACUCUUCAACAUCAAGGAGAAAAUACAAAGAUCAAGCCAAUUAUGUUGUAAUCUUGAAGCAAACUCUUCAACAUCAAGGAAAAGUACAAAGAUCAAGCAAAAUGUUGUCAUCUUGAAGCAAACUCUUCAACAUCAAGAAGGAAUUCAAAGAUCAAGCACAGUAUGUCGUAAUCUUGAAGCAAACUCUUCAACAUGAAGGAGAAGUACACAGAUCAAGGAAAAUGUUGUAAUCUUGAAGCAAACUCUUCAACAUCAAGGAGAAGUACACAGAUCAAGGAAAAUGUUGUAAUCUUGAAGCAAACUCUUCAACAUCAAGGAAAAGUACAAAGAUCAAGCAAAAUGUUGUCAUCUUGAAGCAAACUCUUCAACAUCAAGGAAAAGUACAAAGAUCAAGCAAAAUGUUGUCAUCUUGAAGCAAACUCGUCAACAUCAAGGAGGAUUAGAAAUGAUAGUCAUCCUAAAGAAAGUUUUUAACGUCAACAAUGAAAACAAGAGCAUUUUUCAAAGAGUGUUUGCAUCUUGAAGCAAACUUUCCUCUGUUAUAGCUGAUGAAGACAUCUUUACCUCAAUGGUGGUUAUUUGAGAUUCCUACCUCUUCAAACUCGAGCAAGAAGAUAAUGUUGACGGAGAAAAAUGGGGAUCAGAAAAGAUUCAGGAACAUCCAAUUAAAAUCGCAGAAGAUAUUUGGAUCACACAAAGACCUGAGAAUCUUCACGAAAGGAGGUCAAACAGAAGACUCUUCUCUACAUUUAAAUAUAACAACGAUUGCUGAUUGGCUGCAUCUGGCAGGUAUUAAGAAGAAACCGAUCUCAAAGAAGCCAGCUCAUGUAAACCACACUGUUGUAUUUAUAAGAUAAUUUCCAAAUAUUCAUGUCAUUAUUUGUUAUCAUUGUCUCAUUCUGCUUGAAUUCAUUCAUGUUAUUUAUUCAAUAAGUGAAAACCAA